CCUGUACUACUUCAUACCUUCAAACAGUCCGAAGGACAGACCAUGCACUACAUGCUGUCCGUGGACCGGAGACUUCCCACAGCACGGGAGCGCCUCCCCCACUGAGGAGGCUCAUAGGGGAGAAGAGGGGAGGCUGAAGCUUGGUGCUGAGCUCUGCUAUGUGGGGGGGAGCCUGCAGGGUUUUCUCUGCAGUGACCCCCUCCAUGUUAGAGUGUCGUAGACCCUGGGUCUGGAGUCUCUCUUAUCCAGGAAGAGAGCGAAAUGCAGGAUUAAAAUCAGAGAGAGGCUAAUGUCCAGGAGGAGACAGGAGCCCCAAGUAAGGGUCCUUGCUCCAUUUUUAUUGGGAUCAGAUGGCUUACAGCGUGAUGGACGUGCACAAAGAGACAUGAAACGAUGGGUCCUAAUCCAAUAUGACUAGCACCUUUAUAAGAGGAUAUUUGGACACAAGGGAGACACCAGGGACGUGCUUGCACAGAAGGACCAUGUGAGGACACAGCAAGAAGUCAACCAUCUGCAAGCCAAGGAAAGGGGUCUCAGAAGAAACCAACCUUGCUGACACCUUGAUCUUGGACUUCCAGUCUUCAAAACUAUGAGAAAACAAGUGUCUGUUGGUUAAGCCGCCCAGCCUGUGGUAUUUUGUUCUGGCAGCCCUUGCAAACUAAUGUAGACAUUAGGAAAACA
Suricata suricatta (meerkat) is the source of this 681-nucleotide long non-coding RNA. RefSeq lists it as uncharacterized. The record is from RefSeq and is a predicted model, not a curated record. Lineage: Eukaryota; Metazoa; Chordata; Mammalia; Carnivora; Herpestidae. The transcript has 2 exons.